CUCUCUCUCUCUCUCUCUCUCUCUCUCUCUCUCUUAAUAAAUACUUAUGCCUAUUUUUGUGUCUAUGUGUCUGUUACCCACCACCACCGCCUGCGCGGCGCGUGCCCUCCCGCUGGUGGGAAACUAUAGCCGCUUGUCACAUGGUGGGCUCCACCAGCCCGCCCCGGGGAUCUUACAACCGUCUCUUCGGGGCUAGCAGCUGCACCGCAAACAUCUUAGAAACAUCUUAGGAAUAAGAUUGGUGCCACGUGACUCCCUAAUUGCUUCAAUUGGCGCUUCCAUCGGGUUUCUCUGUGGCUUUGGAGCCUGUCCUGGAACUAGCUCUGUAGACCAGGCUGGUCUCGAACUCACAGAUAUCCGCCUGCCUCUGCCUCCCAAGUGCUGGGAUUAAAGGCGUGCGCCACCACCGCCCGGCAAUAUUUAAAAACUUUUCGUAACAAAAGAGACAGGUUGGCUCCUAGCAGCACACUCUUUAUUUCCUCCAAAGAAGACAGAAGACAAAUGGACACACAGAACAACGUCCUUCUGCGGCUCACUUUGACUGCCGAGUGCUGACCAUUGGGCAAAACUGCCUUUCAUCUAAACUAAAGACCUCUAGACGUGGACGGAAUCACUGGAAUUGACAGCCUAGCUGCUCAGGUCAAGGUAGGCCUGUCUUCCUACAGAUUUCUUAGCCCACAGAAUCUUCUGGAGCCUGGCAGGCCCUGCGCUAAACAGCAAAGCUCAAGUGCAACCUUCAGAGACCAUGGAGGACCCAAAAAAAGAGUAGCUCUGGGUGCCAACCAUGUAAGGUCUCUGUCAUUUUUUAAUCAGUAACUCAAGUAAAAUCUUAUAAUUCUCAAAGAUCUCUGACAGUUUGAUAGCUGAGGGGUUUUCAAAGAUUACCUCACCAAACAAAUUUUAAAUCAAAUUUCUCUCCUAUACUGCUUUCCAUGUGUCUAAAACUUCUGUUUUUACAAACCCAAGGAGUUCUCGUGAGUUCCAGGGAGCCGAAUUAAAAAAAUCCAUCUUAAACAGGUCAGAUACCGGGCUGGAGAGAUGGCUCAGAGGUUAAGAGCACUGACUGCUCUUCCAGAGGUCCUGAGUUCAAUUCCCAGCAACCACAUGGUGGCUCACAGCCAUCUGUAAUGAGAUCUGGUGCCCUCUUCUGGCAUGCAGGCAUACAUCGAGGCAGAAUGUUGUAUACAUAAUAAAUAAAUAAAUCUUUA
Long non-coding RNA from Alexandromys fortis (reed vole), 1208 nucleotides. RefSeq lists it as uncharacterized. The transcript is spliced from 2 exons. The record is from RefSeq and is a predicted model, not a curated record. Lineage: Eukaryota; Metazoa; Chordata; Mammalia; Rodentia; Cricetidae.